AUUGAACGCUGGCGGCAGGCCUAACACAUGCAAGUCGAACGAGUGGCGGACGGGUGAGUAAUGUCUGGGAAAUUGCCUGAUGGAGGGGGAGAACUAAUGGAAACGGUAGCUAAUAACGAAUACCAUCGGAUGUGGCCAGAUGGGAUUAGCUUGUUGGUGGGGUAACGGCUCACCAAGGCGACGACCCCUAGGUGGGCUGAGAGGAUGACCAGCCACACUGGAACUGAGACACUGUCCAGACUCCUACGGUAGUCCGCAGUGGGGAAUAUUGGACAAUGGGCGAAAGCCUGAUGCCGCCAUGCCGCGUGUAUGAAGAAGGCCUUCGGGUUGUAAAGUACUUUCAGCGGGGAGGCGUUACCCGCAGAAGAAGCACCGGCUAACUCCGUGCCAGCAGCCGCGGUAAUAC
This 406-nucleotide ribosomal RNA is filed under the name uncultured bacterium. RNAcentral's name for it is "partial 16S ribosomal RNA". It matches the Rfam family "Bacterial small subunit ribosomal RNA", at positions 30 to 526 of the family's 1533-position model. The record is from RNAcentral.